RNAcentral lists this ribosomal RNA (114 nucleotides) under Pteropus alecto (black flying fox). The record is from RNAcentral. Lineage: Eukaryota; Metazoa; Chordata; Mammalia; Chiroptera; Pteropodidae.
GUCUAUGGUCAUGCCAGCCUGAACAAGCCUGAUGUCUGAUCUCAGAAGUUAAGCAGGCAGGCCUAGUUAGUACUUGGAUGGGAAACCACCUAGGAAGACCAGGUGCUAUAGGCA